RNAcentral lists this ribosomal RNA (252 nucleotides) under uncultured bacterium. Its description in RNAcentral is "partial 16S ribosomal RNA". It matches the Rfam family "Bacterial small subunit ribosomal RNA", at positions 524 to 776 of the family's 1533-position model. The record is from RNAcentral.
UACGUAGGGACCGAGCGUUGUCCGGAAUCAUUGGGCGUAAAGAGCGUGUAGGCGGCCCCUUAAGUCCUGCGUGAAAUCCUGCGGCUCAACCGCAGACGGUCGUGGGAAACUGGAGGGCUAGAGUGCGGGAGAGGAGAGUGGAAUUCCUGGUGUAGCGGUGAAAUGCGCAGAUAUCAGGAAGAACACCCGUGGCGAAGGCGGCUCUCUGGGACGGUACUGACGCUGAGACGCGAAAGCGUGGGAGCGAACAGG